RNAcentral lists this ribosomal RNA (428 nucleotides) under Serratia marcescens. RNAcentral's name for it is "partial 23S ribosomal RNA". It matches the Rfam family "Bacterial large subunit ribosomal RNA", at positions 1239 to 1663 of the family's 2925-position model. The record is from RNAcentral. Lineage: Bacteria; Pseudomonadati; Pseudomonadota; Gammaproteobacteria; Enterobacterales; Yersiniaceae.
UUCUAAGUGCAGUGAAGUCAGACCGGAAGGACUGGUGGAGCGCUUAGAAGUGAGAAUGCCGGUAUGAGUAGCGAAAGACGGGUGAGAAUCCCGUCCACCGAAUGCCUAAGGUUUCCUGAGGAAGGCUCGUCCGCUCAGGGUUAGUCAGGACCUAAGCCGAGGCCGACAGGCGUAGGCGAUGGACAACAGGUUGAUAUUCCUGUACCACCUCUUUAUCGUUUGAGCAAUGGAGGGACGCAGAAGGAUAGAAGAAGCGUGCGAUUGGUUGUGCACGUCCAAGCAGUUAGGCUGAUAAGUAGGCAAAUCCGCUUAUCGUGAAGGCUGAGCUGUGAUGGGGAAGCUCCUUAUGGAGCGAAGUCUUUGAUUCCCCGCUGCCAAGAAAAGCUUCUAGCGAGAUAAAAGGUGCCUGUACCGCAAACCGACACAGG